UCGUUUAUAUGAACACUCACACAUAGCAUGCAACAUGCACCUAGCUGAACAAUAAAUCAGUAUCUUUUUUUGUUGUUGUUCAGUCUACACGGCUCAAUUACUCAUCUCCGCCUGGCAGUUUUUGCCACUCGGUAUCGUUUGCGCUUUAGAGUUUUUCUCCUCAUUGUAUUGUUUUCCUCUCUUUGUAUUUCUUUCUCCCAUAUAUUUUCUGUCAAAUUGUGUUUGGUUUUGGAUUUGUUGACAGGCACAUAAUGCAUCCGUCCAUUUUCCACAUCGCUUAUCGUACGCAGGGUCGCGGGGAGCGGGGGAUUGGGGGCAUUGCAAUCAGCCUACAACGCUUGUCUUUGGACUGGAGGAGGAAACCAGAGUACCCAGAGGAAAUCCUCGAAGCAUGAGGAACACAUGCAAACUCUGAGCACACAGUGCGGAGGUGGGAUUUGAACCCUUAACCUCAGAGCGCCUGGGACACCACAGAGACUGGACUAUCUUCCACUGAAUGUGAGAAUGUGAGAGGAACAGACCCCACCACUGACUUUAAGAAUCAAAUAUACAAUAGUACAUGAACUAGAAAGAAAAAAACAAUCAAGGAAUAGUGGGGG
Ictalurus furcatus (blue catfish) is the source of this 599-nucleotide long non-coding RNA. RefSeq lists it as uncharacterized. Lineage: Eukaryota; Metazoa; Chordata; Actinopteri; Siluriformes; Ictaluridae. The transcript is spliced from 2 exons. The record is from RefSeq and is a predicted model, not a curated record.